ACGGACAUACCACAUUGAAAACACUGGUUCUCGUCAUAUCACCGAAGUUAAGCAAUGUCGGUCAGUACUUGGGAGGGUGAGCACCUGGGAACACCAGGUAUAACUGUAGGCU
This 112-nucleotide ribosomal RNA is filed under the name Cordylochernes scorpioides. The record is from RNAcentral. Lineage: Eukaryota; Metazoa; Arthropoda; Arachnida; Pseudoscorpiones; Chernetidae.